Molecule: ribosomal RNA, 448 nt
Filed under: uncultured bacterium
Lineage: Bacteria
Description: bacterial SSU rRNA
Rfam family: Bacterial small subunit ribosomal RNA
Source: RNAcentral
UGCCAGACUCCUACGGGAGGCAGCAGUGGGGAAUAUUGGGCAAUGGGCGCAAGCCUGACCCAGCAACGCCGCGUGAAGGAAGAAGGCUUUCGGGUUGUAAACUUCUUUUAAGGGGGACGAACAAAUGACGGUACCCCUUGAAUAAGCCACGGCUAACUACGUGCCAGCAGCCGCGGUAAUACGUAGGUGGCAAGCGUUAUCCGGAUUUAUUGGGUGUAAAGGGCGUGUAGGCGGGAGCGCAAGUCAGAUGUGAAGACUCAGGGCUCAACCCUGAGCCUGCAUUUGAAACUGUGUUUCUUGAGUGCUGGAGAGGCAAUCGGAAUUCCGUGUGUAGCGGUGAAAUGCGUAGAUAUACGGAGGAACACCAGUGGCGAAGGCGGAUUGCUGGACAGUAACUGACGCUGAGGCGCGAAAGCGUGGGGAGCAAACAGGAUUAGAUACCCGAGUA